UACGUAGGUGGCGAGCGUUGUCCGGAUUUAUGGGGUUUAAAGGGUGCGUAGGCGGUCCUAUAAGUCAGUGGUGAAAUAUCGCAGCUCAACUGUGAGGGUGCCAUUGAUACUGUAGGACUUGAGUGAAUUUGAGGUAGGCGGAAUUGACGGUGUAGCGGUGAAAUGCUUAGAUAUCGUCAAGAACACCGAUAGUGAAGACAGCUUACCAAGCUUCAACUGACGCUGAGGCACGAAAGUGUGGGGAUCAAACAGG
RNAcentral lists this ribosomal RNA (253 nucleotides) under uncultured bacterium. Its description in RNAcentral is "partial 16S ribosomal RNA". It matches the Rfam family "Bacterial small subunit ribosomal RNA", at positions 524 to 776 of the family's 1533-position model. The record is from RNAcentral.